AUUGAACGCUGGCGGCAUGCUUUACACAUGCAAGUCGAACGGUAACAGGUUAAGCUGACGAGUGGCGAACGGGUGAGUAAUGCAUCGGAACGUGCCCGAUCGUGGGGGAUAACGCAGCGAAAGCUGCGCUAAUACCGCAUGCGAUCUGAGGAUGAAAGCGGGGGACCGUAAGGCCUCGCGCGAUCGGAGCGGCCGAUGUCAGAUUAGGUAGUUGGUGGGGUAAAGGCCCACCAAGCCGGCGAUCUGUAGCUGGUCUGAGAGGACGACCAGCCACACUGGGACAGAGACGCGGCCAAGACUCCUACGGGAGGAAGCAGUGGGGAAUUUUGGACAAUGGGCGAAAGCCUGAUCCAGCAAUGCCGCGUGCAGGAAGAAGGCCUUCGGGUUGUAAACUGCUUUUGUACGGAGCGAAAAGGUCCUUUCUAAUACAAGGGGCUCAUGACGGUACCGUAAGAAUAAGCACCGGCUAACUACGUGCCAGCAGCCGCAGUAA
This 493-nucleotide ribosomal RNA is filed under the name uncultured bacterium. RNAcentral describes it as "partial 16S ribosomal RNA". It matches the Rfam family "Bacterial small subunit ribosomal RNA", at positions 29 to 523 of the family's 1533-position model. The record is from RNAcentral.